RNAcentral lists this RNase P RNA (319 nucleotides) under Flavobacterium sp. CF136. RNAcentral describes it as "RNA component of RNaseP". It matches the Rfam family "Bacterial RNase P class A". Rfam says of the family: Ribonuclease P (RNase P) is a ubiquitous endoribonuclease, found in archaea, bacteria and eukarya as well as chloroplasts and mitochondria. Lineage: Bacteria; Pseudomonadati; Bacteroidota; Flavobacteriia; Flavobacteriales; Flavobacteriaceae. The record is from RNAcentral.
GCCGCAGACCGCCUUAUCGUCGUCCUGAUUUAUUGGGAGGGAGGAAAGUCCGGACACCACAGAGAAGCAUAGCGGGUAACACCCGUCGGCGUUAGAAAUGGCGCAAGGACAAGUGCAACAGAAAGUAUGUACAGGUAAUGCUGUAGUGAAACCAGGUAAACUCUAUGCGGUGAAAUACCAAGUAUAUCAGCAUUUAAGGGCUUCUCGUUCGUUGCUGAAGGGUAGGUAGCUUGAGUCAUGCAGUAAUGCAUGAUCUAGAUAAAUGAUAAGGCUCUGAUUUGAUCAGAGACAGAAUCCGGCUUACAGGUCUGCAUUUUUU